CAAUAGCGUAUAUUAAAGUUGUUGCAGUUAAAAAGCUCGUAGUUAGAUUUCUGGUCGGAAGCUCCUGUCCUCUGAUGAGCGUACAAGUGCGUCCUACCAUCCUUCUGUUAACCUUUAAGGCUUUCGCGGCUUUCUAGGGGCUCAGAUAUUUUACCUUGAGAAAAUUAGAGUGUUUCAGGCAGGCUAGCGCCGGAAUACAUUAGCAUGGAAUAAUGGAAUAGGACUUUUGCCUCUUCUGUUGGUCAUGAGGCUCGAGUAAUGAUUAAUAGGGAUAGUUGGGGGCAUUAGUACUUAACUGUCAGAGGUGAAAUUCUCGGAUUUGUUAAAGACUAACUUAUGCGAAAGCAUUUGCCAAGGAUGUUUUCAUUAA
RNAcentral lists this ribosomal RNA (370 nucleotides) under uncultured eukaryote. Its description in RNAcentral is "partial 18S ribosomal RNA". It matches the Rfam family "Eukaryotic small subunit ribosomal RNA", at positions 592 to 976 of the family's 1831-position model. The record is from RNAcentral.